CUACGGGCCGCACCAGUCGAGAAUCUUCCGCAAUGCGCGAAAGCGUGACGGAGCAAUGCCGCGUGGUGGAUGAAGGCCUUAGGGUUGUAAACACCUGUCACAUGGGACGAAUUUUGACGGUACCAUGAGAGGAAGCCACGGCUAACUACGUGCCAGCAGCCGCGGUAAUACGUAGGUGGCGAGCGUUGUUCGGAUUUAUUGGGCGUAAAGGGUCCGCAGGGGGUUUGCUAAGUCUGAUGUGAAAUCCCAGGGCUCAACCCUGGAACUGCAUUGGAAACUGGUGAACUAGAGUAUCGGAGAGGUAAAUGGAAUUCCUGGUGUAGCGGUGGAAUGCGUAGAUAUCAGGAAGAACACCGAGAGCGAAGGCAAUUUACUGGACGAUCACUGACCCUCAGGGACGAAAGCGUAGGUAGCGAACAGGGUUAGAUACCCGCGUAGUC
This 440-nucleotide ribosomal RNA is filed under the name uncultured bacterium. Its description in RNAcentral is "partial 16S ribosomal RNA". It matches the Rfam family "Bacterial small subunit ribosomal RNA", at positions 339 to 795 of the family's 1533-position model. The record is from RNAcentral.